Anas platyrhynchos (mallard) is the source of this 3272-nucleotide long non-coding RNA. RefSeq lists it as uncharacterized. NCBI's taxonomy places the organism in Eukaryota, Metazoa, Chordata, Aves, Anseriformes, Anatidae. The record is from RefSeq and is a predicted model, not a curated record.
CUGUUAAUACACGAGACUUAUGUGUAUCCAAUUAGGGCUAUUAAAAGCAAGAACGUUGCGGAUAAUAUUUCCAAAGUUAAUUAAUUGACAUAGUAUCACUUGGAGAAUGCCUCCCCAGAAGCACUCUCAACUAGCCCCUACCAGCUAUGAUUUAUAGCAACUUGGCCUGCUGGUGUGGAAAUUUAAAAAAAAAAAAAAUGAACUGCUGCUACUCUUGUAAGGAUUUUCAAGUCGAAGCCCAAAGGAUGUCUGCGAUUAUUACUCAAAUCACAAGCAACUGACAUUGUCAUGACCUUAGAUGCAGCAGCCCAAGAGCUUUGCUGGUGUACUCUACCUGGUACGUAAAACAAGAAGAGAUGUGAGAGCAUCCAAGCUGCCUGCGCAGGACAAGCCCUGCAUCUGGCAAACACUCCUGAGCCCUCAUUCCUCCUUUGCUUAAGCUGAGGCCAACAAGUGCGUUCAAGGUUAAAAAAAAUAAAAAGCUGUUUGAGAACAUAUGUGCCCGCUGUGUGGGGAGGCCACCAUGCCGUCAGGAGGUGACUCGCCAGGUUACAGAGGUCAGCUACCAAACACCACGCCUGGCUCAGCACCAGUGCCCGGGAGGGGGAUCCGACCGGCCCGGGCACGGUGCCACCCUAACAGAUGGGCACGUGUGCAAGUAUCCGAGCAGUUGAAGGCAGGGUACCUGUUUGGGGAUGCAGCUGCAGGAAAGCUAUGAGCUGAAUUCUGCACUCUCAUUUAUGCCUGCUUAUGGGACGCUUGCAAUGUCAGAGUUCUCCAAAAAUGCUUCCUCUGCACAAGGUCUUCCCAUGGGAGAGGACUGCAGGACAGCAAGAGCCAGGAAACCAGAUAAGACCAUCAAACAUACUUUAUAUAAGCUGUCGAUAACAAUAUUCUGUCACUAAUAACCAAAGCCAGAUUCAUGCCCAUUCGUUUCAAUCACCAUGUCACUUUGAUGAUGCAAAGUUUUCUUCUUUGGCUGUAAUUAAAAAAUAAAACAAUAAAAAAAGGAUGGAAGCUUCUUCAUAAACCAGAUGUAUUUUCAAUAUUUUCAAACUUUUCCUUUUCCAAACAAUAUUAUGGAAAAGAAUAACUAGAAGGUGAAAAUAGCUCCAGGGUUAUCUACAAGUGAAAGCAAAACAGCCAGGAACAUAGACAGUAAAAAUGAUGUGCAUGGCCAGAGACAGAAUUGCAUUUUGGGAAUUGAGACUCACAUGCCACAAAGAUAUUAUCAUAUUUAGGUUUGGGUUCUUCCUUCAGACACUCUUGAACAGUUUCCUAUGAAGUGCAAAGACUAUGCUUGUGUUUGUAUCUGUGGGUAAAAAUAAGAUGUGACUUGAUCCUUAACUUUAUCAUCAUAGACAUUUCUUACUUUAAACUCAUUUUCAAAAAUCUGCAUAUGCAGCUUCAUUACCUGGCAAGAAGAACAUGAUCUUAAAUCCAUGUAUCAUCAGCAUAGGCUCAUGCAAGUGGCUUACCAGCUGGCUGGGUCUGCCCAUCAGUUGUGGAGAAUGUCUAGCCUUCUUUGCAGCACAUGGGCAUCAUGUGGGGCAGCUCAGUCCCCUCCAUCCCAGGAAACUUCAAGGUGAAUGCAUUUUAUAGCAAAAAUAUUGUCUAUAAAAAGCCACUUUAGACCUCAGAUGUUCUGAUUUUCAAGAGCCUCUAAAAUAAAAACAAUAAAAUCCAAAGUCUGAUCCCUUAAUAUAGGUAAUCAGUUACUAAGAGAUUUUCUGUCACAAAAUGCCUUACAAGAUGAAAAAUUCUAGCCUCGUGGCUUUUAAGACAGAAAUAUUCUGUGGCUUCAGGGAAAUGUAGCACAUCCUUAGCAGUUAAAGGCUUAACACUGCACUGCAGACCAGUCUUCUCAAACCAGCUUGGCACAGAUCCCAUCUCCAGGUUCAUGCAAAGCCACAGCAAGAAUUUAGCACUAGAGACAGCCCCGUGCACAGCUGUCUUCUCUUCUCCCAGGCCUCCUCCAGCUGCUGAGAUGUCCUUGCUGCCACGACAGAUGUGCAGCGUGCCCUUCUUUGGCCUCUUUACUUACCCAGCUUCCACGACUGCAUGAUACUACCAUGUUCAGAGGGACAGCAAUAUUGGGAAAGAGUUAAAUGCAGUUGCAGCUGCUUGUAGCAACACUGCAGCUGAAAACUGCAGCACCUCAUGACCAGAGGGCUCCUCUGCAGGUCAGGGAGCCUCCUCACUGAGUACAGCUCGCUGCUACCAGCCUGCGUCCCACCAGGUCCCCCCCAGCCACAUCUGUGUACACAACAGAACAAACAUAAGCUGGGAGCUUCACGGCCUUGUUGGAUUACCAAAUGAAAGCAGCUUUCCGAGGCAUGGUUGUCAUUGCAGAAUGGAUGUUUCAAGGUGCGUAACAGCUUAGAGAGGAAGAGAGCACAGCAAAAUGUGCCUUUAGGUAUCCAGAAGUUAGUUUUUCCAAGAGUAAAUUGUGCUCCCUCUGUAACAGAAUGCAGAGAUGAUGAUCCUUUCGGUCCUCAGAUGGCUGAUGAAGAUGCCUGUGCUGAGGCACUCUCUGGAGGUGUCUCUCAAUGUGCACUCAUGAUGAAUGGUCCCAACUGACUGGUGUGUGCUUAGGCUGCAUCUGAAGAGAGGAGUGGGAGCACCUCCAUGGACCAGGGUCCAGCUCCACAGCUACUUGCAGCAGGUGCGGGCAUCGUGGUACAUUUUGGACAGGUCUCUGACUCAGCUGGCUGGGAGACAAGGAGUCUGCGAGCAUGAGAUCAUGCACCCAUGACUUGGUUAUCUGUAACAUGGGACAUGGCAAAUUCCUCCUCAAGCAUGCAGCUCACACUGACCUAGACUUGCUAAGCCAUCCAAGUGAACCACGCAGGUGACAGAUCACACCCGUGUCCAAAAUCAGCCUCGAUGGCUUCCUGGUGCUUCAUUCAAAGCACCUGAGGCUGCAUAAUGGAAUCAAGACUGUUGUACUGCAUCCUUGAGGACAUCCACCUGAGAACCAGGACCCAAAUAAGCAACCUUUACACUUCAAGUGAGUUCUCCCAAGCACACAGUACCCCUUUGGGCUGGAGAGGUGGAAUACUUGGGUGGCCUCGAGUCCUCCUGAGCAAUCUCUUAACAAACCUUCUGCUUCAAGUACGUGAUGUUAAAAAUAUCAAGCCCCUCAGCAAGUUCCUCUUGUUAAAAGUGGACAAAUGCGUCCUAUUACAUCCCAUUGUAUGGAAUCCCCACCGUGUUUCACCAACAGAGCAGUUGACCAGUGACACCUUCAGGCUGACCAUAAAAUAGUUGAG